CCUCUGCUGUGUGCCUCAGAUGCUGACAGAUGACAUGCUCAGCUUUGGGCAGAACUGAGAAUACUGUAUCGCAUGAGGAGCACUUAAUGCAAUUCAGAGUCUGAACAAACACAGUCCUACGCAGGGGAUAAAGUGUGAGAGUGACAGGAUGCCAACACAUCAUGACAGCUACUGUGCUGCCUGACCCGCAACAUUUAUGCAGUUUCUAAAAGUGCCUAAGAAGCAGAUUUUAUCAUCGCAUCCAGGGCAUCAACCUUAUAUUUUGAGGUGUUCAUUACCCAUAAUCCCAUGGGCUCUGGGAAGACAUCAAACUGGAGUUCAUUAGUUAACAUUUUAAAAGGACACGAUUUGAAGAUGCUCCCCCAGGUGCCCUGAUUUCAGCAAUUUUGCUUCAUAUGCCAAGUGCUGAAAACAGCUAAACCACUAUUACUAUCCACAAGGAAAUCCACCCACAACGCGGCCCAGUGCCAAGCAACGACUCUGAAAUGCUGACAGCGUCCCAGGGCUUUCCAACUGCAGGGACGCUGAAGCAGCUGCAAUUCUCCUCACCAAUGCAGAUGGUGAAGAGGGAGCGUUUGCGUGGGUACUCAGGAGGGUGGAUACAGACUGGAAAAGCCCGAAAGAACUUCCGCAGAUGCCCGCAGUCGUGCAGCAGUUAAGCUCCAAAUGUUAGUUACUCACUGCUCACAUCUCCCACCUGCUCCCGAUUUCUCCUUCUCAAAUCCUUCAAUUACGGUCUACCCAGUGAUCCACACUAAAAACUGCAAAAUUGGAUUUCUCUGUCCACUGCCCCACCCAUCAAAGUGAAAAAACCUCAACUCCAUACCUCUUCCCUGGCCCAUACCUACACUCCCUGGCCCUCGCAUUUCUCUAGACUAUUGCUGGAGGGUUUUCCCAGGUUUUUGUUUGACCAUAAUGAAUUACUAAGACAGUAUUCUACCUUUAAUAAUGAUUUGAUGAUGUGUUAGAGACUUGAUAUUGGAAAAUCCAAACUGUUAAUUUAGAAAAUA
Non-coding RNA from Peromyscus maniculatus bairdii (prairie deer mouse), 1010 nucleotides. NCBI's taxonomy places the organism in Eukaryota, Metazoa, Chordata, Mammalia, Rodentia, Cricetidae. The record is from RefSeq and is a predicted model, not a curated record.